This 491-nucleotide ribosomal RNA is filed under the name uncultured bacterium. Its description in RNAcentral is "partial 16S ribosomal RNA". It matches the Rfam family "Bacterial small subunit ribosomal RNA", at positions 28 to 507 of the family's 1533-position model. The record is from RNAcentral.
GAUGAACGCUGGCUACAGGCUUAACACAUGCAAGUCGAGGGGAAACGCCGGGGAAGCUUGCUUCCCCGGGCGUCGACCGGCGCACGGGUGAGUAACGCGUAUCCAACCUGCCUCUGACUGAGGGAUAACCCGUCGAAAGUCGGCCUAAUACCUCAUGGUAUCGUCUGCGGGCAUCCAACGACGAUUAAAGAUUUCAUCGGUCAGGGAUGGGGAUGCGUCUGAUUAGCUUGUUGGCGGGGUAACGGCCCACCAAGGCUACGAUCAGUAGGGGUUCUGAGAGGAAGGUCCCCCAAAGUGGAACUGAGACACGGUCCAAACGCCUACGGGAGGCAGCAGUGAGGAAUAUUGGUCAAUGGGCGAGAGCCUGAACCAGCCAAGUAGCGUGCAGGAAGACGGCCCUAUGGGUUGUAAACUGCUUUUAUGCGGGGAUAAAGUGAGGGACGUGUCCCUCAUUGCAGGUACCGCAUGAAUAAGGACCGGCUAAUUCCGUG